GGAGAGAUGGCUGAGUGGACUAAAGCGUCGGAUUGCUAAUCCGUUGUACGAAUUAUUCGUACCGAGGGUUCGAAUCCCUCUCUCUCCGAUCCCCC
This 95-nucleotide transfer RNA is filed under the name Dendrobium heterocarpum. RNAcentral's name for it is "tRNA-Ser". It matches the Rfam family "tRNA". From Rfam's summary of the family: Transfer RNA (tRNA) molecules are approximately 80 nucleotides in length. Their secondary structure includes four short double-helical elements and three loops (D, anti-codon, and T loops). Further hydrogen bonds mediate the characteristic L-shaped molecular structure. tRNAs have two regions of fundamental functional importance: the anti-codon, which is responsible for specific mRNA codon recognition, and the 3' end, to which the tRNAs corresponding amino acid is attached (by aminoacyl-tRNA synthetases). tRNAs cope with the degeneracy of the genetic code in two manners: having more than one tRNA (with a specific anti-codon) for a particular amino acid; and 'wobble' base-pairing, i.e. permitting non-standard base-pairing at the 3rd anti-codon position. Lineage: Eukaryota; Viridiplantae; Streptophyta; Magnoliopsida; Asparagales; Orchidaceae. The record is from RNAcentral.